AAUCAACGCUGGCGGCGUGCCUAACACAUGCAAGUCGAACGCGAAAGCCCCUUCGGGGGCAAGUAGAGUGGCGUCCGGGUGAGUAACACGUGGGUAAUCUACCUCCGGGUGGGGAAUAACUCGCCGAAAGGUGGGCUAAUACCGCAUAAUGCAGCGGCACCGAAUGGUGAUUAGUUGUUAAAGCGGGGGACCUUAGGGCCUCGCGUCUGGAGAGGAGCCUGCGGCAGAUUAGCUUGUUGGAGGGUAAUGGCCUACCAAGGCUGCGAUCUGUAGCUGGUCUGAGAGGACGGCCAGCCACACUGGCACUGACACACGGGCCAGACUCCUACGGGAGGCAGCAGUGGGGAAUCUUGGUCAAUGGGCGCAAGCCUGAACCAGCGACGCCGCGUGAGUGAUGAAGGCCU
This 404-nucleotide ribosomal RNA is filed under the name uncultured bacterium. RNAcentral's name for it is "bacterial SSU rRNA". It matches the Rfam family "Bacterial small subunit ribosomal RNA", at positions 32 to 417 of the family's 1533-position model. The record is from RNAcentral.